AUACGGAGGGUGCAAGCGUUACUGGGAAUCACUGGGCGUAAAGCGCGCGCAGGCGGCUAUUUAAGUUGGAUGUGAAAGCCUACGGCUCAACCGUAGAACUGCAUCCAAAACUAUUUAGCUAGAGUGUGGGAGAUGUAGAUGGAGUUAGUUGUGUAGGGGUAAAAUCCGUAGAGAUAACUAGGAAUACCAAAAGCGAAGGCAAUCUUCUGGAACACUACUGACGCUGAGGCGCGAAAGCGUGGGGAGCAAACAGGAUUAGAAACCCUUGUAGUCC
RNAcentral lists this ribosomal RNA (274 nucleotides) under uncultured bacterium. RNAcentral describes it as "partial 16S ribosomal RNA". It matches the Rfam family "Bacterial small subunit ribosomal RNA", at positions 523 to 796 of the family's 1533-position model. The record is from RNAcentral.